AGAGUUUGAUCAUGGCUCAGGAUGAACGCUAGCGGCAGGCUUAAUACAUGCAAGGCGAGGGGGCAGCAAUGUCACCGUCGUACGGGUGCGUAACGCGUAUGCAACCUACCUUCAACUGGGGGAUAGCCCGGGGAAACCCGGAUUAAUACCGCAUAAUACAGGGGUACAGCAUUGUACUAUUUGUUAAAGAUUUAUUGGUUGAAGAUGGGCAUGCGUUCGAUUAGCUAGUUGGUGCGGGUAACGGCCCACCAAGGCGACGAUCGAUAGGGGAGCUGAGAGGUUGAUCCCCCACACGGGCACUGAGAUACGGGCCCGACUCCUACGGGAGGCAGCAGUAGGGAAUAUUGGGCAAUGGAUGCAAGUCUGACCCAGCCAUGCCGCGUGCCGGAUGAAGGCCCUCAGGGUUGUAAACGGCUUUUAUUCGGGAAGAAGAGUAGAGAUGCGUCUUUAUGUGACGGUACCGAAUGAAUAAGCACCGGCUAACUCCGUGCCAGCAGCCGCGGUAAUACGGAGGGUGCGAGCGUUGUCCGGAUUUAUUGGGUUUAAAGGGUGCGUAGGUGGCUGAUUAAGUCAGUGGUGAAAUACAGCCGCUCAACGGUUGAGGUGCCAUUGAUACUGAUCAGCUUGAAAGAAUUGGAGGCUGCCGGAAUGGAUGGUGUAGCGGUGAAAUGCAUAGAUAUCAUCCAGAACACCGAUUGCGAAGGCAGGUGGCUACGAUU
Molecule: ribosomal RNA, 719 nt
Filed under: uncultured bacterium
Lineage: Bacteria
Description: bacterial SSU rRNA
Rfam family: Bacterial small subunit ribosomal RNA
Source: RNAcentral